UCUCCGUAGGUGAACCUGCGGAAGGAUCAUUAAAGAACGCCCCGUUUUUUGAAAUGGGUAAUUCUAAACCGUGUAUACAUACCUUCGUUGCUUUGGCAGGCCGCCCCUCAGCGCGUCGGCUCCGGCUGACUGCGCCUGCCAGAGGACCCAAACUCUUUUGUUUAGUGAUGUCUGAGUACUAUAUAAUAGUUAAAACUUUCAACAACGGAUCUCUUGGUUCUG
This 222-nucleotide unclassified non-coding RNA is filed under the name plant metagenome. RNAcentral describes it as "partial contains small subunit ribosomal RNA, internal transcribed spacer 1, and 5.8S ribosomal RNA". The record is from RNAcentral.